AUGGAGGGGAGGGGAAAUGGAGACGUGAUCCAGUGCUAUCCACCAAUAGCUGAGCAUCAAGAUGAGGGAGAUGAUGAUGAUGAUGAUGAUGAUGAAGAAGAUGAUCAGAUACAGUAUCUCAGUGGUGGAACCAAACAGAAAACGCACAUGAAAAUUGAUCACCAAACCAACAAAAAGCUCCACAUUCAGCAUACCACUGUCACAAAGCCUGACCUUGCAAAUCUCAGCCCAAGGUGUGUGCACGCCCACACAUGCAUGCAUUUAAAAAACAUUCAAAGAUACUGUAUUUUAAUAGACAUUUGCUCACUGUUGCGUGAAGGACUUUGUGAGAGCAGUAAAGUGGAUUUCUGUUUGUGUGUGUUCAGGGUCGUGGAUGGUACAGAGGACAGUGAUGGUACAGAAAAUUCACACACAUUCAUAUUUUCCUCUGGCCAUCAGCACACCAUCAGUGGUGCAACUAAUACCACUGCCACCACAGCAGAAUUAGCAGCUAAAUCAGAGGACACCAGGGGACAGCUACGCCACCUUAACCAAGAGGUGAACUCUCUCGGACGGGAGGUGGCUGAGCUGGGUCGAGUCAUGCGGAGUCUCGCCUAUCUCAUCGAAUCCAUGAUGGCCUCUCCUCAAACACCAGGUGGCUGUACAUCCACGUUUACCUCGGGAUAUCCUUCACCUCCGGUCCCCUUCCCGAGCCAGGGUUCUUCUUGGACCAGCCCUCCUUUUUCUUCACCGAUGCACCCUGGAAUACGACCAGGAGGACUUGUAAACCAUCCGCUCAGACCACAAGAACUGCAGCUGGUCUGCCCCACCACAUCUCCCGGUUCCUUUCCCAUCACACUUUCCUCCUCCUCCCAUACAGACAGAUUCAGAGAGCCAUUAUUGACCCUUUCUCCACACAGCGCAGUUGCUCGGACCCGCUCGCAGAGUCUGGAGACGCCUCUCCUGCAGCAUCACCAACACAUCUCACACACCCCUGGAACUUUACCCAGAGCUGGACAGCCAUCGCUGGGAGAAGGGGAGGAUCUCAGGUCCCUGGGAUUGUAG
Molecule: long non-coding RNA, 1044 nt
Filed under: Carassius auratus (goldfish)
Lineage: Eukaryota; Metazoa; Chordata; Actinopteri; Cypriniformes; Cyprinidae
Description: lncRNA (ENSCARG00000020619.1)
Source: RNAcentral